Molecule: unclassified non-coding RNA, 184 nt
Filed under: Glomeromycotina sp.
Lineage: Eukaryota; Fungi; Glomeromycota
Description: partial contains small subunit ribosomal RNA, internal transcribed spacer 1, and 5.8S ribosomal RNA
Rfam family: Eukaryotic small subunit ribosomal RNA (bases 1-47)
Source: RNAcentral
AAAGUCGUAACAAGGUUUCCGUAGGUGAACCUGCGGAAGGAUCAUUACAGUAUUGGCGAACCGAGCUAUAUUAGCGAGGUUUCGCGAUCACUUAUAUUUAAAACCCACACUUUUUAUAUUAUAUAUAUUUUUUUUUUAAAAUGAUAAAAAAAGAUCACUUUCAACAACGGAUCUCUUGGCUCUC